AUCCCGUACAAUCACCGAAGUUAAGCAACGUCAAGCCUGGUCAGUACCUAGAUGGGUGACCGCUUGGGAAUACCAGGU
Acanthosepion pharaonis is the source of this 78-nucleotide non-coding RNA. Lineage: Eukaryota; Metazoa; Mollusca; Cephalopoda; Sepiida; Sepiidae. The record is from the annotation of a GenBank genome assembly.